CUUAUCAAGAGUGACGGAGGGAACAGGCCCGAAGAAGUCCGGCAACCUGCUGCAAGCAGUAAGGUGCCAAAUCCUGCGGUGAAGCCGAGAGAUGAGA
Molecule: non-coding RNA, 97 nt
Filed under: bovine gut metagenome
Description: SAM riboswitch (S box leader)
Rfam family: SAM riboswitch aptamer (S box leader)
About the family: The SAM riboswitch is found upstream of a number of genes which code for proteins involved in methionine or cysteine biosynthesis in Gram-positive bacteria. The SAM riboswitch acts at the level of transcription termination control.
Source: RNAcentral